AUUGAACGCUGGCGGUAGGCCUAACACAUGCAAGUCGAGCGGCAGAACAGUAAUUGCUCGCGCAUUCGGCUGCCGAGGGGCGAGUAAUGGCUAGAAAUCUCCGUGUUUGCGUGUGCUUACGUCAGGAAAUAGGCGCUAUUACCCCAAUAGCGCUGACGGCGUAAGUGGGAGAGCAUCGGACCUCACGCUAUCAGACGAUUCUAGGUCGGAUUAGCUAGUUGGUGGGGUAAAGGCCUACCAAGGCGACGAUCCGUAACUGGUCUGAGAGGAUGAUCAGUCACACUGGAACUGAGACACGGUCCAGACUCCUACGGGAGGCAGCAGUGGGGAAUAUUGGACAAUGGGCGAAAGCCUGAUCCAGCCAUGCCGCGUGUGUGAAGAAGGUCUUCGGAUUGUAAAGCACUUUAAGUUGGGAGGAAGGGCAGUAAGUUAAUACCUUGCUGUUUUGACGUUACCAACAGAAUAAGCACCGGCUAACUUCGUG
This 484-nucleotide ribosomal RNA is filed under the name uncultured bacterium. Its description in RNAcentral is "partial 16S ribosomal RNA". It matches the Rfam family "Bacterial small subunit ribosomal RNA", at positions 30 to 507 of the family's 1533-position model. The record is from RNAcentral.